Molecule: non-coding RNA, 29 nt
Filed under: Rattus norvegicus (Norway rat)
Lineage: Eukaryota; Metazoa; Chordata; Mammalia; Rodentia; Muridae
Source: RNAcentral
UUCUCUUAGUGGUCUUUGUUCUGGUGUUU